GGGGAAUUUUCCGCAAUGGGCGCAAGCCUGACGGAGCAACGCCGCGUGAGGGAGGAAGGCCUGUGGGUUGUAAACCUCUUUUCUCAAGGAAGAACACAAUGACGGUACUUGAGGAAUCAGCAUCGGCUAGCUCCGUGCCAGCAGCCGCGGUAAGACGGAGGAUGCAAGCGUUAUCCGGAAUUAUUGGGCGUAAAGCGUCCGUAGGUGGUUAUAAAAGUCUGUUGUUAAAGCCCACAGCUCAACUGAGGAUCGGCAAUGGAAACUGUAUGACUUGAGUGUGGUAGGGGUAGAGGGAAUUCCUAGUGUAGCGGUGAAAUGCGUAGAUAUUAGGAAGAACACCAGUGGCGAAGGCGCUCUACUGGGCCAUAACUGACACUGAUGGACGAAAGCUAGGGGAGCGAAAGGGAUUAGAUACCCCUGUAGUC
This 425-nucleotide ribosomal RNA is filed under the name uncultured cyanobacterium. Its description in RNAcentral is "bacterial SSU rRNA". It matches the Rfam family "Bacterial small subunit ribosomal RNA", at positions 356 to 795 of the family's 1533-position model. Lineage: Bacteria; Bacillati; Cyanobacteriota. The record is from RNAcentral.